This 497-nucleotide ribosomal RNA is filed under the name uncultured bacterium. RNAcentral describes it as "partial 16S ribosomal RNA". It matches the Rfam family "Bacterial small subunit ribosomal RNA", at positions 28 to 507 of the family's 1533-position model. The record is from RNAcentral.
GAUGAACGCUGGCGGCGUGCCUAAUACAUGCAAGUAGAACGCUGAAGGAAGGAGCUUGCUCUUUCCGGAUGAGUUGCGAACGGGUGAGUAACGCGUAGGUAACCUGCCUGGUAGCGGGGGAUAACUAUUGGAAACGAUAGCUAAUACCGCAUAACAGUAGAUGUUGCAUGAUAUCUACUUAAAAGGUGCAAUUGCACCACUACCAGAUGGACCUGCGUUGUAUUAGCUAGUUGGUGAGGUAACGGCUCACCAAGGCGACGAUACAUAGCCGACCUGAGAGGGGGAUCGGCCACACUGGGACUGAGACACGGCCCAGACUCCUACGGGAGGCAGCAGUAGGGAAUCUUCGGCAAUGGACGGAAGUCUGACCGGGCAACGCCGCGUGAGUGAAGAAGGUUUUCGGAUCGUAAAGCUCUGGUGUAAGAGAAGAACGAGUGUGAGAGUGGAAAGUUCACACUGUGACGGUAGCUUACCAGAAAGGGACGGCUAACUACGUG